UCCUCUACCUUUUCGCCGCCUUACACCGCUCUGGCCCACAGGACCGAAAUGAGCCGCAAACGCGUGCGCGCGGAGGACAUUCACUACUGGCUGCUGAAGUCAGAGCCUCACAAGUUCUCCAUCGACGACUUGGCGAAGCAAAAAACCUCUCCAUGGGAUGGGGUGCGCAACUACGCUGCACGGAACAACAUGUGUGCAAUGUCAGUCGGCGACAAGGUCCUCUUCUAUCACAGCAACACAAAGGAACCGGGAGUUGCUGGCCUCGCUGAGGUAGUCAGGCUGGCUUACGACGAUUUCACUGCACUGGAAAAGACGUCGGAGUACUUUGACCCAAAAGCCACAAAGGAGAAAAACCCAUGGAAGAUGGUGGAUGUGAAGUUUGUUGCAAAAUGGGACACCGUCUUGACACUGCAUGAGCUGAAGUCGCGCAGGGAGCUGCAGAAGAUGGCUCUCUUCACACAAUCACGUCUGAGCGUGCAGCCGGUGAGUGCAUCGGAGUACGCGUACAUUUUGCGCAUGAAUGAGGAACAGCAGCGAAAACAAGGGAUGCGGCAGGAUCAUCGCUGCCCCUGCGAUGGCCGCCCCACAGGAUGGACAGACCAGGGCAACAAAAGACAGAAAAGAAAAAAGACUGCGAAGCGACUGAGUUUUCUGCGCCAGUGAGGCGACGGCUUGCCUUUGCCCUCAGCCGAGUCAACUUCAUAAGCG
This 708-nucleotide unclassified non-coding RNA is filed under the name Leishmania donovani. RNAcentral's name for it is "gene:LdHU3.36.9570(CDS-product:EVE_domain_contain ing_protein_putative)". Lineage: Eukaryota; Euglenozoa; Kinetoplastea; Trypanosomatida; Trypanosomatidae. The record is from RNAcentral.